This is a non-coding RNA of Ceratotherium simum simum (southern white rhinoceros), 84 nucleotides long. The record is from RefSeq and is a predicted model, not a curated record. Lineage: Eukaryota; Metazoa; Chordata; Mammalia; Perissodactyla; Rhinocerotidae.
GCCUCUCCUCACCUGGCUGGGCUUUCUCCCAGGGUGGUGGCUGGGUUCCAAGAGUGAGUGUCCCAAGAGAACCAGGCAGAAGCU